CCCUUAGAUGUUCUGGGCCGCACGCGCGCUACACUGACGAAUGCAACGAGCUCAUAAUAACCUUGGCCGAAAGGUCUGGGUAAUCUCCAAAUUUCGUCGUGAUGGGGAUAGAUUAUUGCAAUUAUUAAUCUUCAACGAGGAAUGCCUAGUAAGCGCAAGUCAUCAGCUUGCGUUGAUUACGUCCCUGCCCUUUGUACACACCGCCCGUCGCUCCUACCGAUUGAAUGGUCCGGUGAAGCGUUCGGACCGUGGCCUUUGGACGGUUCGCCGUCUGUUGGCUGCGGGAAGUUCGUUAAACCUUAUCAUUUAGAGGAAGGAGAAGUCGUAACA
RNAcentral lists this ribosomal RNA (330 nucleotides) under uncultured eukaryote. RNAcentral describes it as "partial 18S ribosomal RNA". It matches the Rfam family "Eukaryotic small subunit ribosomal RNA", at positions 1470 to 1796 of the family's 1831-position model. The record is from RNAcentral.